UUAAAAUACAAUACCAUACCAUCAAUCCAAACAAAAAAACUAUUAUUAAACCACGGUGAACGAUACAGUCCAUCUAAAUAUGGUACAAACCAUACUGUACCAUACCAUACCAUAUUAUACCAUACAUUAUGAAACCAUGGCAAACCACCAUCCAAACAGGCUGUAAGGGGUGAGGUGCUGAACCACCACACCAACUCUUGUGGUUGUAAAUAAUCUUGUUUAUGUAAACAACCCGGACAAUCCGAUGCAAUAAGCUUUUGCUAUGUGUGGGGUUCGAAAAAGAAUCGUACCAUAAAAGUCUAUCGUACGCAGUUUUAUCCUGCAUUUCUGCAAGAGAUUGUUUUCACGACUCAAAUACGUGAUCUUCUGAUCACAUGAUAACAAAUUUUCCAGUUAAGUCCAUAAGCAGAGUAAAAAUCUCCCUAAAAGAAGUUAUCUAUCACAAUAGCUCAGACAUGAGACUUUCAAAUUAAGACAUG
RNAcentral lists this long non-coding RNA (479 nucleotides) under Capsicum annuum. Its description in RNAcentral is "long non-coding RNA (CANN_LNC004137)". The record is from RNAcentral. Lineage: Eukaryota; Viridiplantae; Streptophyta; Magnoliopsida; Solanales; Solanaceae.